This 440-nucleotide ribosomal RNA is filed under the name uncultured bacterium. Its description in RNAcentral is "bacterial SSU rRNA". It matches the Rfam family "Bacterial small subunit ribosomal RNA", at positions 338 to 795 of the family's 1533-position model. The record is from RNAcentral.
CCUACGGGUGGCAGCAGUGGGGAAUAUUGCACAAUGGGGGAAACCCUGAUGCAGCAACGCCGCGUGAGCGAUGAAGGCCUUCGGGUCGUAAAGCUCUGUCCUAAGGGAAGAAUACUGACGGUACCUUAGGAGGAAGCCCCGGCUAACUACGUGCCAGCAGCCGCGGUAAUACGUAGGGGGCUAGCGUUAUCCGGAAUUACUGGGCGUAAAGGGUGCGUAGGCGGCCCUUCAAGUCAGAGGUGAAAGGCUACGGCUCAACCGUAGUAAGCCUAUGAAACUGUAGGGCUUGAGUGCAGGAGAGGAGUGUGGAAUUCCAAGUGGAGCGGUGAAAUGCGUAGAGAUUGGGGGGAACACCAGUUACGAAGGCGGCUCUCGGGACUGUAACUGACGCUGAGGCACGAAAGCGUGGGGAGCAAGCAGGAUUAGAUACCCCAGUAGUC